GUAUUAUGUUAAGCCAUCAAAGGCCAUUAGACAUUCUACAAGACAAUAUACAGAGUUUAUAAAUGUAUGGGCAAAGGUGUAGCCCCAGCGAUCAUUACAAUCGCAGCUCCCAUUACGGAGGACUACAGAGCUUUGAAAGUGCACAGGUGUAAUGUGGAUUUGACGGAAACCGAGCACAUGCAGCUAUUACACUGCCAGCAUCAAGCUUCACUUGCAAAUUCAUCAAAUGAUCCUUCCGCAGGUUCACCUACGGAAA
Molecule: unclassified non-coding RNA, 256 nt
Filed under: uncultured fungus
Lineage: Eukaryota; Fungi
Description: sequence contains ITS1
Source: RNAcentral